GGGGUUGUGGCCCAGUGGUAGAGUGCUCGCCUUGCAUGUGUGAGACCCUGGGUUCAAUCCUCAGCACCA
RNAcentral lists this transfer RNA (69 nucleotides) under Ictidomys tridecemlineatus (thirteen-lined ground squirrel). RNAcentral describes it as "Spermophilus tridecemlineatus (thirteen-lined ground squirrel) tRNA". It matches the Rfam family "tRNA". Rfam says of the family: Transfer RNA (tRNA) molecules are approximately 80 nucleotides in length. Their secondary structure includes four short double-helical elements and three loops (D, anti-codon, and T loops). Further hydrogen bonds mediate the characteristic L-shaped molecular structure. tRNAs have two regions of fundamental functional importance: the anti-codon, which is responsible for specific mRNA codon recognition, and the 3' end, to which the tRNAs corresponding amino acid is attached (by aminoacyl-tRNA synthetases). tRNAs cope with the degeneracy of the genetic code in two manners: having more than one tRNA (with a specific anti-codon) for a particular amino acid; and 'wobble' base-pairing, i.e. permitting non-standard base-pairing at the 3rd anti-codon position. Lineage: Eukaryota; Metazoa; Chordata; Mammalia; Rodentia; Sciuridae. The record is from Rfam by way of RNAcentral.